AAUCGGUAGACGCUACGGACUUGAAAUCGUGAGGGUUCAAGUCCCUCUAUCCCC
Molecule: transfer RNA, 54 nt
Filed under: Amorphophallus glossophyllus
Lineage: Eukaryota; Viridiplantae; Streptophyta; Magnoliopsida; Alismatales; Araceae
Description: partial tRNA-Leu
Source: RNAcentral